RNAcentral lists this long non-coding RNA (3835 nucleotides) under Populus tremula. RNAcentral describes it as "long non-coding RNA (PTRE_LNC003008)". The record is from RNAcentral. Lineage: Eukaryota; Viridiplantae; Streptophyta; Magnoliopsida; Malpighiales; Salicaceae.
AGAGAAGCUAAAAGCCAUGGAAGACCACAAAAGAAUGUACCUGUGGGAAUUUUCAAGGCCUCUAAUCUUGAAGACAGUCUCUUCACCAUCCUACUCAGCCGCCCCAUGUUAAGCGGCAACUCACAGAGGUAUCCUACUGCAACUAAUUUUUCUCCUUAGAUGAAACGACUGGUUUGAAUUUGAAAGAUUUGAUGUUUUGAUUUGCCAAUGUUUCCAUUACUGGGUUUUAAGUGUUUCUUAGCGAGGAGCCAGAAUUUGAUGGCCUGGAAGUCAACUAUGUGAUUGUUUUAUGCUAUAUUUUGUGUUCUGAUUGAUAUAUCGGGCUGAAAUACAUUCAGUAUAUUCGAUCGCUUUAGAUGUGUGAUAUUGGUCCUUGGACUUAGUUCAAAGGCUUUCAAGAACUAGGAGAGUUUACUCGAAUGAAAGCAUAAACAUGAAUGAUUUUUCUAGUUGGAUUAUGCACAGUGUUAAGUACAGACUUCAGAAUGCCCUGAUCCUUCAGAAAGCUAUUUCUAAUGCUAGCUUAACUUAAGCUUGUAGUAACUGGGAUCUCUUGUAAUUUCAGUUCUGUUCUCUAUGAUUCUUCUUAUCUUUUUCAGUAGGGUUGAGCUAGCACUUGAGUUCCUUUUUUCUUUAAUGAAAGAUUUAAAGAAAACUUAGAAAUGUUGUAAUUUGUGAUUUGCUGAUGCUAAAACUAGCAAUCAUUGUGAUCCGUAGAAUGGAGAUAAUUGGGGCAUCAAGCGAGAAGAUGAAGACAGGCGAUCAAGUUUCGAUAGAUAUUUACAAGUUAGGGAAGACUAUGAGAGAGGAGUUGGAGAUCUUGCAUCCUUUACUUGAUGACUGUUGCAAUUACAGGGUUCCUAAGCGGUUUGCGAGUGUUAAAUGAAAAAGCCUACACACCACAAGUCGUCUCUAUCGGCCCACUUCAUCAUGGCAGGGAAGAAUUGAAAGCAAUGGAAGAGUACAAAAGAAGGUAUCUGAAAGAUUUUCUUGCGUGGAGUGAAUUAAGCUUGGAGGAUUUGAUUGGAGUUACUGAGAUGGAAGAGACAAGGCUUCGCAAUUGUUAUGCGGAAGCAAUUGAACUCAGUAGUGAUGUUUUUGUGAAGAUGAUGCUGCUAGAUGCCGCCUUCAUCAUUAUGAGCAUGCUGAAAAACUAUUUUCUAGACUUCCAGAGCAGCAACGAGCGUAUUUUCAGUAGACCAUGGAUGAUUCAUGAUAUAAGGUUUGACAUGAUCUUGCUUGAAAAUCAGCUUCCAUUCUUUUUUCUUAAUGACUUGCUUAAGCUAUCCAAGCCUUAUAAGGGAUAUUCCUUGAUUGAAUUUACCCAUCGGUACUUGAAGGGUGCAUUGGGUUCAUGGGUGACAAUGACAUAUUAAAUGUUAUCAAAUUCCUCAGAAGUGCAACAUUUUGUAGACUUUCUAAGAAUCUGUCAGCAGCCAACAAAGCUUCCUCAGCCAAGGAAACUCAAAACUCUAAGCAUGCCGAGUGCAGCAGAGCUCCGUCAAGCUGGAGUCAAGUUUAAGCGGGUCGAGAAGAAUCUAUUUGACGUAAAAUUCAAUAAAAGUAGAGGGAGACUGGAAAUUCCACGAUUACUAGUAAUGACCAGACAGAGAUCUUAUUCAGAAAUCUUCAGGCAUUUGAGCAAUGCAAUUGCAGUGACAAAUAUGUGACUAACUAUAUUACCAUGAUCAAUUUGCUUGUCUGUAGCACCAGGGUGGAAAUACUUGUUCGGAAAGGAAUUAUAGAAAACUGGCUGCGUGAUAAUGACGCCGUUUGAAGUGUUCUCCACAAUCCUGACAAAGAAAAUCUCAUCUUCCUCGACAAUUUCUACUUUUCUGAAAGUGUUGAAGAUCUGAAUAAAUACUGUAGAAAGCGGAGGCACAAAUGGAAGGCAAGCUUGAAACAAAAUUAUUUCCGUAAUCCAUGGGCCAUAAUAUCUGUAAUCGCUGCUGCUAUUCUCCUCAUGCUCACUGUGAUACAAACUGUGUGCUCUCUGAUUCAAGUUGUUUAGGUCUACUAUCUCAAUUGUUCUGUAUGACUUCCGCACUGUGUGUACAUGUACUUUACUGCCUAGUCAUUGUAUUAAAAUUAUUAAAUAAAAUACUUACUGUUACCUUUUAAUUGCCGUCUUUGUGGAAAGAAGGUUGAAAAGUGCUGCAUUUUCCUGUGAUGUGAUAUUGUCUCAUAUAGAUAUGGUUUUGCGGUUUUCCUGAAGUUUAGUCUCAUAUAGAUGUGAGCUUUCGUGAAUUAAUUAUAUAUUUUGGUGAAGACUCAUGUCAUUGAAGUCAGGUAGCAUCCCCUCCACGUCAGGUGAAUAUAAGCAAGACAACAAAAGAGAAGGGACAGCUUGCAAACCUAAGGCUGUUUAUAGAUGGAAAUUCUAGUGUGAAAUCGACACAGACAGGACAGUUGAAUAUACGAAUCCAAUUAUUCAAUUGUAUCACAUGCAUGGAAGGAUUGAUUAAGAUGAGUUUAUUAUAGUCUUUAAAUAUGCUAAAAAGUAGUUAAUAUUACUUUCACCUUAAUUUCCCCUCUUCGGAUUACAUUCAUAGUUUUCCAUUAGCUUACCGAUCAACGGCUCAAAUCCCAUUUCACUGUCUCCUUCCUUCCUCCUUCACCUCUCGCCUUGCCCCUAUAAAAAUCGCCAGAACCUCCUAUCCCUACCCAUCAAAAACUUAAAAUCUCUAGCUUUCCCUCGUUUCCUCGAGAAACAAACAGAAACCCGAAACCCCAGUUUCCCAAUUCAUUUAUAUCAAUGGCACAAGGCAAACAGCAAGAAAAUCCACCGGAGGGACAGCCCUAAGGAACAACUAGCCACGAAGGCAGCCAGGAAAACAUCUCUUUGGACACGAGCAAAACUUCUAAAACUGCGGUUGUUGAGAGCUUGUAAGUAGUUUAAGUUUCUGUCCAUUUGGCUUUUUAUGAUAGGCAUCAUGUUUUUUUUUAAUUCAAAAUAAUACUACAUGAAAAAUAAUUUUCUGAAGAGGAAUUAUCAAAAUUAUUUGCUCAUUUCUUUAUCAUAUAUUUUUUUUCUAAUGAUAAAAUAUCAAUUUUUUCUAAACACAAAUAUACAACUUAUUAAGCAAAUUUCAUAUGAAACAAUAUAAAUUAAUUAAUUAUUUUAAUAAAUAAUUUAUAUCAUUUGAUACAAAUUAUGUGGAACAAGGCACGUCGUUAAUAAUUUUAAUUAAAGAAAUUUAAUACAUCACUUAAUUUGUAUCACUCAUGUGGUCCCAUAUAUAUAUUACAGGUUAAAUUGUUUCCAGUGAAGGCAAACUUAAGGCUGGAAGUUUCAUCUCUUUUUUGGGUUUCGUAAUUGAAUUUGUUUUCUGUGUGCUAACAAUUUUUUUGAUCUGCUUGUUUUGUUCUAAUACUAGCUAUCAUCUCAAUUCAGUCACAGGAUGGAAUCUGGUGGACCAUCAAGCACUAAUCAUGAGCUGAGUCAUCAAGUUUCGCUUGAUAUGGAUAGAUUAAUCCAAUCCGUGAAGAAAGAGCUGGAAAUCUCAUAUGCUUUCUCCGACACAUGUUGUAUAUAUAAAGUUCCUGAGCGAUUACGCGAGCUGAACGAAAAGGCCUACACACCUCGAUCGGUGUCGAUAGGCCCAAUUCACCAUGGUAAAGAGAAGCUAAAAGCCAUGGAAGACCACAAAAGAAUGUACCUGCAAGAAUUCCUUGCCCAGAGCGAGGUAAGUGUAGAGGGUUUUAUUGAAUUGAUCAAGGAGAAGGAAACGAGAUUGCGUCAUUGCUAUGCGGAGACCAAUGGGUUUAGUAGCGAAUGCUUCAUAAAAAUGAUAUUAAUGGAUGCUGCCUUCGUCAUUAUGUUUUUGCUGAAGUG